This 161-nucleotide ribosomal RNA is filed under the name uncultured bacterium. Its description in RNAcentral is "partial 16S rRNA". It matches the Rfam family "Bacterial small subunit ribosomal RNA", at positions 358 to 510 of the family's 1533-position model. The record is from RNAcentral.
GGAAUCUUCGGCAAUGGGGGCAACCCUGACCGAGCAACGCCGCGUGAGUGAAGAAGGUUUUCGGAUCGUAAAGCUCUGUUGUAAGAGAAGAACGUGUGUGAGAGUGGAAAGUUCACACAGUGACGGUAACUUACCAGAAAGGGACGGCUAACUACGUGCCG